Non-coding RNA from Rhopilema esculentum, 25628 nucleotides. The record is from RefSeq and is a predicted model, not a curated record. NCBI's taxonomy places the organism in Eukaryota, Metazoa, Cnidaria, Scyphozoa, Rhizostomeae, Rhizostomatidae.
AUGGAACCUGAGGGAGUGAGCCGUAUAUUUGCCCGCUCAGUGGUGACAAGGAAUCUCCAAUAUACUGGCUAUAUAGGGGAUGGAGAUUCAAAGUCAUAUUCCUCCAUAAAGGCCAGUAAGCCUUAUGGUGAUAAAAUUAUUGCAAAAAUUGAAUGUGUUGGGCAUGUUCAAAAGCGGAUGGGAACUGCCCUCAGGAAGCUGAAGGUACAGAAAGGAAAAACAAAGCUAGCAGAUGGCAAAUCAAUUGGAGGAGUUGGCAGACUUACAGCUGCAAGAAUUGAUAAGCUGCAGGUAUAUUAUGGGCUUGCUAUUCGUCGCCAUAAGAACAAUGUUGAUGCCAUGAAGAAUGAGGUAUGGGCAGGCCUUUAUCAUUCUGCAUCAACAGACGAGAACCCGCAGCAUCAAAACUGCCCCACAGGGCCGGGUACUUGGUGCAAAUAUAACAAGGCACUGCUGCAGAAAAAACUUUUCAAGCACAAAAAUCCACUGCCUACUGCCAUUGUAGAUGAAAUAAGACCUAUCUACAAGAAGCUGACAAAUGAUGAUAUAAUGAAUGGGUGCCUUGGCGGCUACACGCAAAACAGCUGUGAAGCCAUAAAUCAUUUGAUUUGGUCAAGGUGUCCAAAAAUUUCCCACUCUGGGAGAGAUCAUCUGGAUGCUGCUGUAGCUGCUGCUGUAGUGGCAUUCAAUGAUGGUAGCAGUGGCCUUGCACGUGUUUUGUCCCAUGUUGGAAUAAACCCUGGAAGCAACAUGCUUUUAGGACUGUCGGCAAGGGACCGUAAGCGGAAAAGAGAGAGUAACAUUAAUGCAAGUAUUGUGGCCAAAAAGAUAAGACAAUCCAGGAGGAAAAAGAAAAAAAGUAUUGAGGACAGUAUUAUAGAUAAGGAGGGAAUUUUGUAUGAGGCAGGGGCCUUCUAAGGAUGAUUUUAAAAAUUUUAAGCUUGUGUUUCUUUUCACCAAUGUUUAAAGCUGUUUUUCUAGGAACGACAAAUGCUGUGUUUGAACGAUCUUGUGACACCUCUCAAAAUCUCAUUUUUAAAGAUAUCUAUGCCAAAUUUUCACCAGUUAUAAACAAGACUGUGAAGAUUGCAACUAACUAAUGGAUUUCAGCUGUGAUUUGGUGACUUACCACAGGCAGUGAUCAAAUUUUUGCUAAAUUGUCUAAACCGAACCCCCUUCAAUAAGAUUGGUAAUUAUUCAAAAAUAAAAAAAGAUAGCUUAAUGUUGGUAGUUCAUUGCAUUGAGUAACUAUCAGUUAUCACUUUAUCAAAUUAUAAAGGAAUAACUGCUUAUCUACUGCCAUCAGUUGCUGUCACAAAAUGUUCAUGUAUUUCGUGAUGUUAGACAUGAAGUAUUUGAUUAAUUGGUAAUUUUUUUGUGUAAAUCCUGAUUUUGUGAUAAAACAUGUUAUAUUAGCAAGAUAUUUUAUUCUGAACUUCUUCUGGUAGCUAGAUAUCACAUAACCCUGAGAGUGACCUUCAUGUCAGUAUCUACAUUAAUACUUAAAGCAUAAACGUCUUAAAACUGUCUAUUAAUGAUGUUAAUGAAACCAUCUAAUAUUUUGCCGUUUAACAUUCUACUCCUUUUGACAAUUUUAGCUUUUCCAACUUGAAUAGGAAUCUUGGACUGUUCUUGGUCAGAAGACUUGUUUUGGAUCAAGUCAAUGAGUUCCUGAAUAAUAUCAAACUCUAUAGUACUAGUAUGCAACAGGCUGAUUGAUAUGAUGGGGAACCCUAUCCAACCAAUGGCACUUUUCAUUAACCUCUCAUUUGUUACUUCAAUCUGAAAGACUCUUUGCACCGUUGGAUAUCUCUUAGAUCAUAGCAAGAAUCACCUAUAAGGACACCCCAUUGUACACUUUCAGAAUUUUUGGCUUUCAAAAUUCUUUCUGCUUAAUUUAAAACAACCACGCAAGGAAUUCUAGAAGGCAAUUCUUUGAAAGCUCGAAAAAUAUCGUUUAAUACCACUAUUUUAGGUAUUUUAUUCGGAAGGACGUCUCUCACUUGAAAAUCAUUGACAUCUCUUCCUCUGCCUUUCUUGGGUUGUAGCCUUUACUGUCACAUUGGAAAAAUUGAAAAAAGCAGAAAUUUAUAGAAAUAGGUCAUAGACAAAUACAGUCUCCACUACCUUCUUCAAAAUUCUUUGAAUACCUAAAUUCAGUCGAAAGGGAGUCGCAAAAGUACUGUCGACAUGAAUAAAAGAAAGUGGAAUAAGUCCUUCAUAUCGAAUUGAGAACCUUAACAAUUAGAAGAAAGGGAACAUCAGUUUUUUACUCACUUUUUGCAGCCUAGCGUUAGUCUCCUUUACCGUGGAAGAUGACAACUUCUCUUGCUUAGCCUACAAAGAAAAAAAAUUGGAAAUAAGUCCUCCACAACAAAUCGAGAACCUUGACAAUUAGAAAAAAGGGAACAUCAGUUGAUUUACUCACUUUUCCUGAGACAUUUAUUGGUUGCUUUAAGUAAGCAGUGGUAGGGAAAAAUUCUUCUGAAUUAACAGUGUCAGAGUUUCUGAUCCUGGGAGAUCUCUUACUCCAAUCAAUACCUUAAAAAAAUUAAGAAUGCAUAAUGUAAUUACACCGCAAAUUCGAAAUCCUUUAUAUAUAGAACAUAAGAUGGUAAUGGCUAAAUUCUUUACUGUUCCCUUUACUGUUACCAUUGAAUAAAGACUUUUGAUUUUACAUAUAAAUUGCCUGUCAACAAGCAAGAACAUAUCCCUGUCAUCAGAGUUUCUAAGCUUUCUCUUCAGUGAAGUCUUGACAAAAGUGAAUUUUUGGUAACAUUCUCGAUGAUAGCAUCAAUCUUCUCCAAUAUUUUCUGGAACUCCUCUCCGUGGUGAUUAAAACCACUUUGUGACUCAUGUAAUAACUUACAGUAUUGCAGGGUUUUCAAUGAAAUCUCGCUACAUUUCACUAAUUUGACUGUUGUUUCAAUCAAAUCGUAGUCUUUGUAAUCAACAAGAUCCAUUUACCAUAAUCACUUUUCGGAAAUCAAUUAAAAAUGAAAACUCAUUUAGGCCUAUGAAUUUAAAAAACAUGAGGAAACUCGUUCUCAAAAUAUAAUAAAAUGAAACCGAGGCAUGUAACAAGCCCUAGCCAAAACACAACUUCAAGGAUCUGUCAGUGGUAUGAAUUCACAGCAGAGUUUAUUUCAAACCAGAAUUGAAGGAGAGGAUCAUCCCAGAAAUAAAGACUCGCUGGAGAAAAAGGACCUCACCAAAAUUUGAUGUUACUUUCAAAGGUCAAGAACUACCAACACCUUCAAAAGAAGCAUUCAAUCCGGUUGAUUAUUUCAAUCAGUUUUUCAGUGAAGAUCUGAUUCAGCAUAUUGCAGAACAGACUAAUCUUUAUAAUGUUCAACAAACUGGGGUCUCUGUCCAAACAAGUAAGAGCAAGAUGGAGCAAUACAUUGGUAUUUGAGACAUGAUGUUAAUAAUAAAGCUUCCUCAAAUAAGAAUGUAUUGGGCAAAGAAAUGAAACACUUGUUUCAUAAAUUUAUGAAAAAAGGACAAGGAAACAAGGAACACUGCAAUUAUAACUCAAACUAUAUUCCUACUCGACAAGAAGGUCUUAAUAAGCUAUUCAAAAUUCUACCUGGUGUUGACUCAGUUCUUCAAGAAUAUUGGAGCAUUCCACAAGAGGCAAGGCUAUCUAUUGAUGACCAAAUACUACCAACAAAAGCUUGCACAAGUGUCAAGCAAUAUUGUCUUAAGAAGCCUUACAAAUGGGGAAUGAAAGUCUAGGCUAGGUGUGGUGUCAGUGGAUUGUUCUCUGAUUUUGAAGUUUAUAGUGGAAAGUGUAACGACAGAAGAAAUGCCAGAAUUGCUCAUGGCUGGAAAUGUUGUGCGUCUAUUAUGUGAUACGUUACCACAUAACAUGAUUCCUAAAAUCUAUUUUGACAACUUUUUAAGUUCUUUGCCCUUUCUUCAGCACUUAACCAAGAAGAAAAUCUGGAUUGUUGCAACUGUUCGAAAAGACAGGAUGAUAUGGUUUUUGGUAUUUCAGGGGUCCUGCUGGAGACUAUUUCAAAAAGUAGACAAAAGAAAAAAAAUUCAAUGUUAUCAUUUCAAAAGGUAGAAAAAAGCUCCAUGUUAUCAAAAAAUCACUGAUUGACCCAUUUUGGCCAGCAGAUAUGAGGUCUGUGUGUAGCUCCUUGGCAGGGAGGAAGCAAGGAAAGAUGGAAAGUGUGGAAGGAUUUUCUUUGCCAAGGAAUUUUUCGCUGUUUUCUUCAAGAUGUAAUCAUGAAGUUAUUGAAAUUACACCUUGUAAACAUUGUAUUUUGAAUCUCAAACCACAAUUAUUGAAACCAGUUGUGACAGUCUAUCUAAAGACCUUCAAUGAUGCCAUACGAAUUGCUUUGAAGGUCAGAUUUGAGUUGUAAAGAAUUUUUGCAUAUCUGCAGAUAUAUCAUCAUGGAAAUAAAUAGCAUUGCUGAAAAACAUUGUUUUUGCACUACGAAGCCCACACUUUUAGUGUUUUUGGGGAACCACUUUGGGUAGGAAAUGCAGAGGCCCCUAAACUGGCACCAGUAAAGAGCAUCACAUAGAAUGAUUCAUUACAAGAAGGGUUAUUUGUUUACAACAAUCUGAAAACUGUGUAUGAAAACAACAAAAUUAUGUUAUUUUCGAAAUGUUUAUAUUAUGGGAGAAAGUGGUGCAGAAAUUUAUUCGGAUUAAAAUGAAUCAUUACGUGCCACAUCCCGAAUGCUUAUAAUUGGCUCUGAAGGAUCAACUGAAGAUAACUUUGAAAACAGUUAUGCCGGCUUCUGUACUGUUGAUUUUCAACCAAACCAGGACAAGCUGAUAGCUGAUCAAGACUGGUUGGAUAAUUUUUAUAGAGGUGGCAUAAGAAGAGAAAAAAAACCCUUGUGCAAUUGGUAAGUUACUUUUUUAAUUGGAUUCUGUUGACAAAGUGCAUCCAAACAGAGAACUCAAUUUUUUAUGUGUCAUAUUUGUUAGUGAGAUGGCCUCAACCCAACGUGAGCCCAGGUUUUGCCAAUUUCCUUGCAACAAACCCCUAGCACAAUGAAAAAAUAGUACUUGAUAGAUUUGUGAUAGCAGGCCUAGUUGGACUGAAGGCCUAGUUGGACUGAAGGCCUAGUUGGACUGAAGGCCUAGUUGGACUGAAGGCCUAGUUGGAGUGAAGGCCUAGUUGGACUGAAUGCCUAGUUGGACUGAAUGCCUAGUUGGACUGAAUGCCUAGUUGGACUGAAGGCCUAGUUGGACUGAAGGCCUAGUUGGACUGAAGGCCUAGUUGGACUGAAGGCCUAGUUGGACUGAAGGCCUAGUUGGACUGAAGGCCUAGUCUGGGGCACUAGAUAAAUGCUUUAGUUCUGCAUGUUUUACUUCAAUGUUAUUCAAUGUAAAUUAACUGAGAACCAACUUUGAUUAUCAAAGUACUGUUGUUACAAAAUCCAACUUGUUUGAAUAUACCCUUUUGAAUACAUGUUGGUUCUACACCGACAGGUCGCAAAAAAUAUUUUUAUUGGAAGCUAGUUUUAAUUGAAGUUAAUAAACAAAUUACGCGAGAAUUCUUCAAGGAUAAACCUUGUGCCAAAGAAAAUGCACAGAAAUGGAUUGUUUUUAUUGUGGUAGUUUUUUGUACAAGUAAAAUUUUGUUUCAAUAUUUCAAUAUUGUUUACUUCCUCUUCUGUUUACUUCAUAUUUUCAUUUUGAAAAGGCGACACUGUGGCAAAUGCAAAGUUGAAAACCUGGUCAAUACUAAGGAGUAUCAAUGUUGUCUUGAAAUUGAAAGAUGUUCAGAAGUAAUAAGUGAACCUGGUUUUGUGGAAGAAUCUGGUGGUGUAAUGGUUUGUGUUACACAUCACCUAGGUUUCUGACCAGUUUUUUCUUCAACCAUGGGCUCUGUUAGAGCAGGUCAGAAAAUUGGUAAAGAUAAAAUCAAAUAGAGACAACUCAUUGUCCAAAUGUCAUAAUUUUUUGGUUCAAGUAAAAAAGCAUAAAAUAUUUUACACAGAUCAUAAAAGAUUGAUAUUAUUGUUUUCAGGUUUUUACAUUCAAUUUACUAUUGGCAGUUUACCAUGGCCAAAUUGGUAACAAAAUAAUACCACUUCAAGCAUGUGCAUACAAUGCUAUUAGACAAAAUUCCAAAUAGUGACGAUGAUUAGUAAAAUGAACUGAAUAAAACUCAAGUUUUAAAAAACAAAAUAUUAUUAGCAUAGAUAUAUUCCUCUUAUAAAUUAUUGUUUUUUAUAUUUGAGGUAAUUUGUGGAGUUCUUUUAUUAUACAUUUGCUGUUUGGGCUGUUACUACUUCAACUCAUACACAGUAAAUCUUCAUGACUGGGGUUUAGGAAUGUGUAAAAGAGUGUAGGGAGGGUACAAAAUGGUGCAUUUCAUUAAAGAAACCUAGAAAUGGAACAUGAUAAAUUACAAAAAAUAGAAAUAGGGAAUAGGGGGUAUGCAAUUUAUCAAAAUUAAGUUCAUUUGUGUUCCUUGGACAGUUAAAAUCGUUGUUCCCUUUCAUUGAAUUCUUGCAGAUUUUGCAACAUAGAAUCAUCUUCUCUUGUGGUACAUAACAUUUAACAUUUGUCUCUGAAAUGAUUACUAACAGAUUCUCUUAAGGAAAAUAUGAAUUUAAACUUUAUAAAAUUUUGAAUGGUACCCAAGAUUCUUCUGCAAUUAAUCAGAUUCCAAAUAAAUGUUUAUAGAAAGUAACUAACCUUGCGGCUGUGAUGUUGAUGGAACCACAGAUAAAUUAUUGACGGCUCUUUAGAAAGGUAUAAUUAAGACAAAUUACAUGACAGUACUAUGCACUGUAUAUUUUGUAAUUUUGGAGUCCUGGCCCCAAAUUUCCUUAUUUGGGCAAUUUGGUCCAACAAUAAAUUUUCCAAUGUAUUUCAACUAAUAAUCACCACAGUUUAAUCAUUGAUGGCUCAUUAGAAAGGUAUAAUUAAGACAAAUUACAUUAAAUUAGACUAAAUUACAGUCACCUUCCUGUUGUUUGUACGUUCUUUUUUGACUAACCAUCUUAAUAACCGAUUCUAUUGUUAUCUUCACCAAUGAUUUAAAAUCACCUUUUACAGUUCUAAAGUAACUUCCAGUUUUGCUUGCCUUGGCUGCAAUUUUUCACGAGCCAAACAAAUUCCAUUUGUAGUGGGAAAUAUGAUUCCUUUUGUUUGCAAUAUUGAUCAAAUUUUUAAUAAUUGUUCUUUUGUUAAAACUAGCGUGUGCAUCAUCACAACUGCAUCUUCAACAGUGUAAUCAUGUUCACGUCAAAUUCAUUUUUAAAUAUCUUUUUACCAACCAUGGACAGACUUUUAUUUGACUAAAUGUUAUCUCUGUAGAUAAUAUAACCCAUCAAUUCAGUGACAGAAACUUUCACUAUCCAUGAAUUCAUGAAUUCUUUCAAUAAGUUGAUUCGUUUGUUUUUUUUUUGCUUUGAAAGAUAGUGUUCCAAAUGGUUUACGUGGAGUAGAAUAUUCAGACAGAUCAGUACUUUUUCGCUUUUUGUUAGCAUCAUUUCCAAUACACCUAACUUCAUUUGACGCCUUUCUUAUUUCUGCUUCUAACUCUACUCUAGUUCUAUUCUUUUUUAAAUUUCUGUACUGUUGCAAAUUAGCUCUGAUAAUUUCAUUAUGGCUAUCUGUCAAAGCAUCUUGAUUUAACCAAUAUAACAAUACAGGUUCUACAUCAUGUUGCUGCAACUUCCUCUUCUUUUUUACAACUUCAUCAACCUUACUUAUACACAACUCGAAAACAUUUUCUUAAGGAAUAGCAAUUCCCUCGUAAAAGACACUGCAACUUCUUAAUUUGAUCUUUCUUCUCAUUUUAUUUUGGCAGACAAGAGGUUCACAAAGCAAAAACGGCAAAUUGGAUAAAUUUUUAUUGUAUUUUUUCUAGCAAUUAUUAUGUACAAGAAAUAUGUUUUUCUUUUAUGAUCAAAACCUGUCAUUUUCUGAUCCUGUAUCCUUUGAUGGGUAUAAAAUGUUGGAAAUGAUACCAUUUUGCCAAUGAUACCAUGUGCUUGAAAACAUUAAACACCUUGGUUGCAGAUGUUCCAGCAACUAGGAUUCCAAAUGAUAGGAGCGAAUUCCCAGGGAAGAUCUUUCUAUUUGGGAUGGUUGGAUGCCUUCUCGAUGUCUAUAUGUUUAUGAUUAUUUGGGAUGAUUUCCAUUAUAAUGAUUCUUUUAUCAACUUAAAAGAAACGAACAGUCACAGCUAUUAGCGUAGGCCAGUAAAAGUGUUCCUUCAAAUGAUGGUAGAAUUUAUCUGUUGCAAAGUGACCAAGUUUAUGAUAUUCACUGACAACAGUUUUCUGAAAAUUUGGUGGUAAAACUGAUCUGCCUGAUUUUGUUAAUAAUCUGUCAGUAACCCAAAGCUGGCGUUGCACCUUCUUGAAGCUAACAACAACGAUUUUGGUACCCGUUAGGCACCUCUUGCAGAACGAAUACAUGGAUCAUGUGUUUGUUCUUCCUUGAAUUGAUGGAUAAAAUGAUCUUUAUUGAUGAACGAUAUCGCCAUCAAAUUCUGGUGAAGGUUAGAUAUGACAGGCUGCUAUGUUAUCUGAUAGUGCAUCUGCUUUAACAUUGUUCUUGCCACUGUGGGUUAGCAGGUUAUGGAAAGAAUUGAAAACAAACUGUGUUCCGUCAAGAUACUCACGCCAAUGUCUAACAGCCAUGAUUAGAGCGAAUGCUUUUUUAGAAGUAACAUACCAAUUUUUCAGGGAUUGCUGUAGUGCGGUUGAGUAAUAUGCUAGCGGAUGCAUGCAGAUGCAUUGUGAAAGAACCCCUCCAAAAGCAUGGUUUCUACUAGGGCUGUCUACUGAAGGUCAAAUAAUUGGUAUUUUUUUAGAAAAAGAGGUAGUUUCUGUCUCUUCAGGCCUUUUUUACUCUCUAAAACACAGUUUUAAAGUAGUAGAAAAUAUGGUUGAUCUGCCAGAAGCUCCCCCUUAAAAGACCUCGUAUAAUUUAAUAGAAAUUUCUUUAUUACGAUUCAAUUAAUUAUUAUCAAAAAUAUGAAAUUUUGUGGUAAUUCAAAAACACCAAAGGCAACCUCAGAUGGCAACAAUCAACAAAUCGAGGGGGCCAACCCUGAGGAUUUACGGUAGCAAUGGGGCUUAUUCGAGGGGGGGGGGGGCUUAUUGACAUAUGGUAGUUCUAGGGUGGGGGUUUUUUGGAGAGAUUUACGGUAACCCAGUGAAUUAGAUCAGAAGAUAAAGCGAGGCUAAUGAGGCAUAGAUUUAUUGAGGCUGUGCGUUUGUUGUUUGUACUAGUAACAAAUCAGUUGCAUUCAUUAUUGAUCGUCUCUUGAAAUGGCUGUGUGGGGAGCAAAGAAUGCACAUUUAUGAACGAUGAAGUGUAUGGCUGAACAUCUUCUUCACCUCCUCCAGAAAAAGUCUCCCACAGAAGUGCAUCUAGUGACAAUUUCAUUUAGAUUGUCUUUAAUUUCAUUAAUAUGGAAUAUGCAGAUUAAGCCUCUUAGUAUGAUUCGAAACGAAUAAAUAUCACUUUGGACGGCGUGAAUUGCAUUCCCGUUCAAAACUUCGGAAUCUAUGUGUGAAUCAAAUGAUCUGUAGUGUCUUUUAAAGUCAUUUCCAAUUCCUGUCGCCUCUCCAAAAUCUAAGAUUACAGGGAUCCAUUCUGGCAUUUUCUCCCCUGCUUGUUUUCAUUAUCACUACAUUAUCGACCACUAGAUCGUUGUGCUAAAAUCGAUUUUUGUGAACAUGAUGCAGUGCACUUGCUAGCUUGACCAAAAUUUCUAGAAGACAUUCUUCUGUAACAUCCUCUAAUCACCCAUUGUUUCUUGUACAGAGCUGCAAGACCAAUGCAAUAGCCCUUGAGUUUAAAGGAAUGGCAUUAGCAUAGAAAUGCUUUAUGAGGACUGGGUUUAUUAGUGUUCUAGCUUCUCCUACUGCUCGAUCUUUUUGGUGAAAAUUCAGGAAUCUCUUUGAACUCUUUAACUGCAACUGCAAGCUUGCGAUAUUGAAUAAUUUUGAAAGAAGAAUAUUUCCCUUUCUCUAUACCUGUAUCGCCUUCAAUUACAUUCUCAAGCAUAUCCCGUUCAAGGCAUCUGUCUUUUGGAAUCUCAGAAGGAACAUAUCUAGAAAAUUCAUAUGCCAUGGUAUCGGUUCCUUGACAACCAACUUUGACUGCGUUCUUGUUACUUUGAACAUCUGCUUGGGUGCUAUCAGCCGGAAUAUUUACAUUCCCCUUUAAACCAUUGUAACUGUAAGGACCACCCUUUGUGUGCUGACGCUUGACUUCUGGAAAUGCUGUUAUCACUGCUAAGCCAAGUUUCCUUUCGUUUAUACACGCAGAUGGAAAUGUUACCUGGGCUUUUGAUUCUAAGCUUUGUACAGGAGUUUUCACCAACCAUAACUUUUAUCAAUCAUAAUGAACUUUUCCAUUAGCCUAGAAAGGUAAUGAUUUUGUUAUUACGGAUAAGAGGACGUUUUGAGCUUACGCUCACUUAAAAUUUUGCAAAAGGUUUUUUCUUAGGCAUUAAACAUCACUGAUUCUUUAUCUGCAAAUAUUUUUUUCAAAAUAAGGGCCAUAAGUUUGUUUUUGGGGGGCUUGAGUCGUAGGAGGUUUUUCGAAAAGAGUCUGGGGAGAGUGACGCAUUCUGGUGUGUUAUUAUAUAGUUUACGGUCAGGAAACCCCAACAGAGCCGAUAAAAUGUCCAGCAACCUAAGCGGGGAAAGGAAUUUCCAGAUUCAAACGUUUCAUCUAACGAUGAGGAAGUUGUAUCGGAAGUGAGAGAACAAAUUUUGAAGACGGGAACGUUGAAAUGAUGUUGCAACCCAAUGAGAAAGAUCCAUUACCACCUUCCUCUGAAGAUGGGUGAACAUGUGGUGGCGAAGCCGACACUUGGCUAAUUAUUCGGAUUUCAAUUCGGAUAAAGAUGAUAAAAAGUUUUUUCAAGUGAGAAAACUGGAUCGAUUUCUGUUGAUUUAUUUAUUCUUUUCUUAACAAGACGCACUUUACAUCCCAAGGUAAGCAGAUAUUUUUUGACGCUGCCUAAGUGUUCCCGUAAAUUGACAUUCGACAUGAAACAUCACAACCUGAUGUGAACUGAUCUUCAACACUAGAGCCAAAGCAAGACAACUAAAUUGACUCAAAACAACAUAAAGAACAAAUUUCUUUUGAGUGUAUACUAAUUUGAAUCGUAAAACUCCAAUAAUCGAAUUCCCUGUACAUCAACAAGCUCCAGGGAAACCCCUGGCUGAAGACACCAGCACAUAGAAAACCCCUAAGUACACUUGUAAAAAUGUUCCGAACCGAUUGAAACUUUGAGAGUUACUAAAAUUAAUGUGCAUAAAAUACAUUUAGUUCCCCCUUGUUUUUUUCUGGUUUGAUGAGAGUAUCUGAAACGCCCCCCGUUCGAGCCUUAUAACAGCUAUCUCGUAUGUCUGUUUUGUUUCCCCAUAUUUACUUCCGUAAAACGAUUCAAAAUCGAUUGAAACUUCGUAGAGUAGCUAGAACUAAUGUACUAAAAAUGAAUUUUGGGUCUUGCUGGCUUUUUCCGAAACUUGGUAGGAUUGUUCAAAUGCUUGUUAUAAUUCUUGUACAUAACGUGUGUUUUGGGUCAUAGGUCGGACGAAGACAAUGGAUUGAAACCGGUCCUGUGUCUUCUCAUGAAUUUUACCCAAUAUCGAUGCUAUUUUUUUCAGCUUUCGGAAACUUUUGCGACUGAUUUUCGGGAAUGUGACUGUUACCUAAACAGCCAGUAUAGUUUUGCUAUGCCCGAUGUCUGCCAUCCUUCAAAAGUACGCAAUAAACUGACCUUGCCGGUGCACGAACACACCAGAAUACGUCACAAAUUCCUGAAAUUCCUCUUUGGCCGCGUUUUUUUAUUCGAACAAAAUCUGACAAAAACAAGUACUUUGGAGCUUGAAAAAAUUAUGUUAACGAAAAGAUAUGCAGGAAAAAGUUACACCAUUCGAUUCAGCACUGCCGGCUCUAUACUAAAAUGAAAUAAAUGGAUUUUAUGAAGUUUUUUCAUUUUUCAUGUCAGUUCCACUUUAAAUUUAUACAAAUAGGAAUGUUUUGAAUGGUUGCUGCAGUAGUUGCUUGCACCCCCCUCUGAAAAUUUUUUGGAAAAAUUGACGCUACACCACUACAGCGACCACUUCCAUGCUAUGAAUGUUAUCCGUCUCGCUUUACAGUUUACACAUUUUACAUUGCACAAAAUGGCUGCGAGGAACAUUGACAAGUUGGUUGGGAAUACUAUUUCCCAUCCUUCUUUUCAAGAAACUUUAAAUAAUGUAUUUAGGGCUUUGCCUUCCACUGCUGAAGUAGCAGUGGCUCGUGCUGGAGCUUCCAGCCCAACAGCUCCGACGAGACCCAUAUUGAAUGACCGGCAGCAAUUUAAUAACGCGCAAGAAGAAUUUUCCUCGAUUUUUAGAUGAGGAAACUCUUUAUACAACCGCCAAAGAUAUAUUGGCAAUGCUUUUAGUACUAGCAUCAGACGGCUUAGUUCUGUGCCCGCAACCCCAUGCACUCGCCCAGCUUCUCUGGGAAGUCGUCGCGCAAGCUCCCAGAAUGGCAAAGGUAGAAGUAAAUUCCGUGUGAAGGAAGUCACAAGUUUCCAAUAGUUGAGCUACUGUAUGCCAUGAAUUGUGUAUCUCAAACAGCUUCGCAAUUUCUUCCUUCUCUAAUGAUUUUCUAGGUCUGCCACAGGCACCUUCAUUGUACUCUUCAGGGCACCUAACAGAGUGUGCAGUCAUUUCUGGUAUGUAGCUUUCAUCAGUAAAGAUGUUACUCUCAACUAAAUUGUGUAGAUUACAAAUUUCUACAAAAAGCUCUCUUAGAUACACACACAAACUUUCAGGUGUUUCUGUUGCACAUUCACACCUCCUAAUGAAAACGCUUAAAACAUGUAAAAAGUCUUGCAAACGUCUAUUCCAAAAUUCGAGCAUAUUCAAAUUACUACUGAAAGCUUGUCGUCGAGCCUGAGAUAGUUGUCCAGGAAGAACAACCAGAAACUGUUGAAAGUCAACUUCGAACGACAUAAUUAAUAUUCGUUGGUAUUGCUUAGGCCAGUCAUUUGCCUCUGGUGCUCAUAAUUGGCGGGAAAUGUCACUGCGCACAUUGUUCGCGCUUAGACCUUAAAUAUUUGCAAGCAAAUUCAGACUUUAUAAUUGCAAACAAAUUCAGACCUUAUAUAUUUGCAAACAAAUUCAGACCUUAUAUAUUUGCAAACAAAUUCAGACCUUAUAUAUCUGAAAUUUCGGAAAACAAUUUAUAAAUGUCAAGUGGACACGCAUUAAGUUAGAGGAAAUAACGUCGAUAUGAAUUGUACAACAGAUUUAUAAUAGAUUUACAAUGACAUCAUAUAUUUUGUAUAAUAGACUUUUGUCCCAUUUGGCGGGGCAUAAAAAGGGCAUUUCAUCCAGAAUCAAAGGUUACUUUAAUUUAUUCACCGUAGUUGAUAUACAUUAUAUCUUUGAAAUUGUUGAAAGGGUUUUUUGAGGAUCAGAAAGAGCCUAGAACCUCUCCACCAAUUUGAAAUAAGAAUCAGCUUUUUGGGAUCUAUCCACUUAAUAAACUAGGCAUAAAAACGAUGAUAUUUACCUAAAAAACUUUUCAAUCGAUUUAGAACCACAGAACAUUUAAAAAAGUCUAUACAAUCUUUUUUUUAAAAAAAAAGUUAUAAGAAAUUUUGUCUAUAAGAAAUUUAUAAGAAAAUUUAUAAGAGCCUCAAAUUUUGUUUAAGAGUCAUUCCAUAUGAAAUCAUCAGAUUUUUUUACAUAUUUGCAACCGACUAUCUCAGAAUAAACUGACCUUGAUAUCAACUGUUGGUAUCAGUGAAAAACAAAAUUUCCUAAAAUUUUGGAUCAAAUCUUAACCAGUUGCAAAGUUAUGACAAAUUAAAACAAUCAUGAAAUAUGGGCGUGGCAGUUCAACAAUUUGAAUGUACACUGUGAUUUUGAAAAUUUGUGGCAUAUGCAAAUUGAUAUGAAGAAUCCAGAAAUGGCAUUAGAAAUAGCAUAGUUUUAAUAGUUUAUCUUUUAUUCCACUGUAAAAUGGCUAAUAUGAUUUUCCCAAACACGAUGAUCUGAAAUGUUUGAGUGGCUAUUUUGAGAUGUCUCCAAGUUAGUCAACAGUUUUCCUGUAUAUUAUUUUGAAGAGCAAUUCAUUUAUAUUUUGUACAUUUUCAUUCAUAAUGUCAUAAGUUCUUCCAGUCUUUGAUACUGUAGCUUCAAUUGGGCAUAGAACAUCUAGCUCUGAAACUAGCAAACAUCUUCUCUUUGGGCCAGUGAAAACUUAUACAUGGUCCUGGAGGGUGUAAGAAACUAAUUUUGAAGUCAUUCUCUUGCAUAGAAACUUCCUGAACCAUUCCUAUCCAUCACUUCUUAUCGUAUCUACAGGCAACAAAGUCACUUGCCUUCACGGAGGUGAUAGAAAGGAAUUUGCCUUUUUCACCAGAUAUGUUAAAGGUACCUAAAAAAGUAUCCUCUUCAGCAGUGUAUUUGAAGGCAAUUGUACUUGUAGAUACUGGCUCAAAGGAGUGGUAACUUCUAGUUCCAGGAAUGGUGCGACCAAGAGAAAACCUGUCCUUCUUUUCAAAAGAAAAUUAUUUUCUGUCACUCUUCCCUUUGAAAUGAACAAUGUUUGAAUGCUUUGAAUAUUACUUUCACAAAAUUCAAGCAGUUUAGCCACAUUGAGUAUUUCGUCAGAAGAUGGUUUCUGUAAACUUGCACGUGAUGUGAGUCUCUUUACUGUGCCCCGAAUACCAUCAAAUGGCGAUUUCCCAUGGCUGGUUGCAAAAAAAGACCAAGUUGCAUCCAAACCAAAGUCAUCCUUAUGACUGCACAAAUUCAUCAUGUUUUUGUAAUUCUUAUAUUGUGCAGCACAACCAUCAGAGAAAUACCACCCUUUAGUUAUAGAUAGAAGUUUAAUCUUUAAUGAUACUUGUAAGCCUUCUCUGCACCUCAAAAGCAAAGUUUGUGUCAUGUUCUAGGUCAUGAGACAAAAAUCAAAAGGAACGACUCAAUAACUCUGCAUUUUGCUUGUAGUAUAAAACUACUGGGUGUAAUGUGCAAUAUGGUCUACUCCAGUGAUAUGAUUGCACUUCAUCUUGUACAGCAAAAGUAUAGUUCUCUGCAAAGUCGCCUAGAACUAUUGCAGUUCCUUCAGUGAUCUCCUUUUUCCUUGCUUCGAGGUUAAUUGCCUGGCACUUAGCUAUAUAUGAAUGUGGUGUUAGGGCAACUAUAGUUUCAACAAACUGCUCAUCAAAUUCGCCUACAGGCAUCGUUGGUGUGAACAUCUUGGUUCUGUCUGUUGUUUGCCAUUGUUGAAAACAUAUAUCAUCUUUAUCUGUUAAUGCUGUUCAACAUGAGAUCUAAGGGCUUUCUUUCCUGAGCAUUUGUUACAUCUAUGAAUCAUACAUGUCCUGUUUGCCUUGCUACACAAAAUCAUAUCUAUCAUUUCUUUAUAAUCCAAGUCAAGCGUGGCUGCUUGUACCAUCAAGAUAGCAUUCUGGUGAAGAGUACAUACACAGACAGAAUGUGUACCACUGGCACCAGCUGUGACACACCAUUUAGGUCAAAGAGAGCAAACCUUUGAAAACUCAAUGGUAACAUCGGGAUGAUGUUGUUUAAAAGUACAUAGAGCUCUUUCAUAUUGCUGAGAAGUGAUCUUUUUUGUUCAUGAUUAUUUUUACCCACACUGACUGAAUCUUUCAUACCAGGCACCAGUCUUGAAAAAGAAUCAUCUUGGAAAAAGGAAGUGAGAAGGUCAAUUACACUUUUUUGCAAAGUCCUACUCCCUGUUUUCUUUUUUUGCAUAGCUAGUUUACCACAUGAAGCUCUUUUUCCUCUUGACUGUCUUACAAAAUAUUCAGAUACCCCAAAAAAGGAGAGGGAUAUGCAACUGCCCAGGAUUCAGGUGUGAGGGUUAGAAUUUGAACUUUUUCCCUAUUGUUUAGCAUGGAAUUUUCUCUGACCGUGAAACUGAGGAUUCAAUUUCAGAAAUAUCAGCAUCCACAGUACUAUCAGAAAUUUGAAUGUAAGAUGGUUCAAUAUCAAAAGCAGAAGGUUGUUCAUUACACUGUGCCAUGCCAUAACAAUUCCUUUAAAGCUGCCAACCAGGAACACAUUCAAGAUUCUGCAUUGACAAUUUAGAUGCCAAGUCCAGUGAGAUCUUGUGGCCACCCUUAACUGUAGUCUUAUGUACUUUGAACAUGUUGCAGCUGACAAUUUUCGCCCAAACAUAGAGCCAGAGAAAAAUGAUGGAAACAUUUGGUUCUUCGCAAAGAAUGGCAAUGGAAGCAAAGCACUUAUCAUAUGAAGAAGGUGUAAUGGCAACUCCUAACCCAAAGACUGGAAAACGAUGGCCAGAAACAACAGUAGCACUUGUUGAAGAAUUUUGUAAGAGAUGAUACAAUCAGUAGAGUAAUGCCAGGAAAAAAGGAUUAUGUUAGCGUUGUCCAAAACGGUUUAAAGUAUCAUCUUCAAAAAAGAUUAGUUUUAGGAAACCUUAAAGAAAUAUUUCAAAAAUUCAAAGAACAGCACCCAACAAUGAAAGUAGGUUUCUCCAAAUUUCCAAUGUUGUGUCCGAAAGAAUGUGUACUUGCUGGAGCAAGUGGAAGUUAUUCUGUAUGUGUGUGCAUUGCUAAUAACAAUGUAAAAUUGAUGAUGCAUGGUUCAUAUGCAAUCCACCCUUACCACAAUGCCAUUCAACAAGUGUGAGAGCGUCUCUUAAAGAAAUACUCAGUAAGUAUUACAGUGACACGAGCAUUGAUGAGAUACAGUUUAAGCAGUGGAUUUCAACAGAGGUCAAGCCUGGAAACACUUAUCACACCUACAGAGGACUUUAUUGAUAUUUUUGUAGAAAAACUGGAUCAUCUUAAACAGCAUGACUUUUUAGCUAAACAACAAUCUGCAUAUUUGAAAAACAGAAGAGACUCUUCAAGAGGGGCAAGUCAUCAGAAAAUUAUUUUCUUUGUCAUUCAAGAUCAGGCUCAUUCCUUUCAUUGGAGUAAGUCAAUGGCUACAUUACAUCCAUUUGUGUAUUAUCAUCAAAAGGAAGAUGGAUUCAACAAAGUAAUUUUGUGUCAAUAUCUGAUUGCAACACACAUGACACAACUGCAGUCCAUUUGUUUUAGAGGCACUUAAUAAAGCACUUAAAAGAUAAUUUUUAUCCAGUAGCAAAGAUUGUUUACUUCUCUGAUGGCUGUACAGGCCAUUUUAAAAACCUUAAAAAUUUUGCCAACAUUUGCCUGCAUGAGGAGGAUUUUGGAGUUCCAGCAGAAUGGCAUUUUUUUGCCACUAGCCAUGGCAAGGGUCCAUCUGAUGGAAAUGGAGGAACAAUUAAGCGUGAAGCAACUCGUGCAAGCCUUCAACACCCUUUUGACAACUUGCAACUGUUCAAAUUUGUUGAUGAGCAUCUUAGUGGAAUUAAUUCAAAAUUAUUAACAAAUGUUGAUUGGAAGGUAGAGGAUGAACAUUUGCAGGAGAGGUAUAGAUGGGCCAGAGCAAUCGCAGGAACUCAUAAGCUACACAGCUUUAUACCUGUUUCAGAGUCUUUGAUGCAAGUUGCUACAUACAGCCUUAGCGAAGAAUGGCAGAAAGUAUGUAUUUUUAAGUCAGGUCAGAAGACCCUGGAUAUUGGACUUAUCCAUGGCUAUGUAACAGUGGUAUAUGACAAAAAGUGGUGGGCUGCUUAUGUUAUCCAGGUAGCUCCAGAAAAGAAUUCAUUGGAAGUGAGUUUCCUUCAUCCCCAUGGCCCUCACCCUUCGUUCUAUUUUCCAAAGCCCUAAAGCCUUGUCAACAUCAUUUCCUCAUCCUCUGAUACAAGGAGACAGAUUCAUGUGUUUUUAGAUGUAUGUCACAUGCUAAAGUUGGUGCGAAACAGUCUUCCUGAAGGUGCAUGAUGCUCGAUCAAGAGGGGAGGAAAAUUAACUUGCAAUACAUAAAGGGGGUAGAAAACCUUCAAGAAUAGCAAGGGCUAAGACUGGGCAACAAACUGAAAACAGCCCAUAUUAGAUGGUACCAGCAACAAAUGAAGGUGAACCUAGCUGCUCAGACCUUUGGCAGUAGUGUUGCUGACGCAUUAGAGUAUUGUAAUUCUGUUUUGAAACUGGAACAACAGUAAAGUUUAUCAGGAUUAUUGACCAUCUCUUUGAUGUCUUGAAUUCAAGCAACCCUUUUGCCAAGAGGUUCAAAUCUGCUCUUAGGGUUAAUAGCCAAUGUAUUUGGGGGCCAUUUUUGUCAGAAGCUCAUCAUUACAUCAUAGCCCUUAAAGAUGCAAGUGGCAAACUGAUGCACUCCACAAGAAGAAAAACUGGUUUUCUUGGAUUUCUUGUAGCCAUCAAAAGCAUUCAGUAAAUUUUUGCAGAGCUGGUCGAUGUCCAAGAUCCCCAAUUAAAAUACUUCAUCACAUAUAAGUUUAGCCAAGAUCACCUAGAGCUUUUCUUCUGCGCAGUAAGAGUAUCUGGUAGGUUCAACAACAACCCCACAGUACAGCAAUUUGUUGCAUCAUACAAACGCCUCUUACUCCGAAGUAGCAUAGAAGGGGGCAAUGGUAAUUGUCAGAAGCAGGAUCCAACAGCUAUUCUGCAAGUUAUUGGUGAUACCUGCAAUAUACAAGGACAAAAUACGAUUAUUUCCAAAGCUGCAUUAGCCUGUAAGUGUGACAUGAUAGAGAGAGCACAAAUGAAAAGUGAUCAUGAUUAUGCUGAUGCUCCAAAUACAUAUCAUCUGUCAGAAUUUAAGAUUGCAGCCCUUUCAUAUUUCGCUGGGUUUAUUGGGAAAAUGACAGACAAGGAAACAUCCUGUAUUAAAUGCAAAGCUGUUCUAGCGAAGCUCUGUCCAAAAUCAAUCUUUAAGCAGUUUCCUAACAUUUAAGGACAGAGGGGGACAUUCAAGCCCACAACCAGCGUUUUCAACAUAUGUAAAGAAGUAGAAAAUGCUUUCAACGAAUGUUCAAAACAACAGAUGGCGAGUUACCUCAGAGUAAACAAACAUAUUUAGGGAGCUAGACAACCACAUGACAGAAACAGCAAUCGAGGAUAAUCACAUUUUUGCACUGAUCAAGAUAGUGGGAAGUGGGAAUGAACUACUGCAAAGUCAGGCUUUAUCAUCUAGGAAAGCAGUAUUCAGAAAAGUUGUCCUCUACAAAAGUCAGGAAAAAGUUGUCCAAGCUUUUCCUGUUCAACCAGUAGUAAAUUGCUACGAGCCUACAAUGUCAAACAGCUUUUUUUAAAGCUACCAGCAAAACAGAUUUUUUUAAGAACUACCAAAAACGCCAAGUUACCAUAACAAAGUUAACACACAAUCGAAACAGAUUGCCCCCUUCCAUUCUGUGAAUUAAACUAAUACAGUUCCAAAUAACCAAGCUAAUUACCUGGGAAUCACAAGUCGUGUCAAUGAAUAGUUGAGAAUACACGAAAGUUAUGAUAAACAACAUAAAUAUUACUAAUUUAGCUUAUGGACACAUGGAAAAUCUAAAGACAGAGCUAUCAAAGCCAUGUGCCCAAAAUAGGAGCUGCGAGCCAAAAUGAGGCCCAGGCACAUGAACAGUGAUUUCAAUAUUUGAAGAUUCUGUGCACAAAAACAUUUUAAAUAGCUUGCUCUGAAAGCAUAUAAACAACAAUGCUCACCACUCUUCCAUAAUCGAAAUGAAACAUUGCUUCUUUCUUAACCUUAUGCUUCUUUCUUUUCAUCAAACUAGGCUGCUUCUUUUGGGGCUCUCUCGGUGGAUGGCUACACUCCAGUCACAAUAGAAGCUCGAUCCAGUCUUUUUGAUAGAUCAGUGAUCAUGAUGCAUAGCUGUAAAAACGCGAUGUGCACGCAGAUUCUCAAAUUAUGCCAACCAUAAUUGGUCAGCUUCACGAAGCGCUGCAUCGUGCUGCGUACAGUGUGAAUUGAGCUUUAGAUGUGGAAAAAACCUUAAGAACUCUCAAGAUUCUAUUGUUAUAUUCUUAUAGCACUGUUAUUUGCAUUUCAUAUUUUUUGCAAAAUAACGUUUAUUUCUGAAAAAAUCUAAAAUGUUUCUUCAUACGUAUGUAUUACAUAUUUUAUUUAACAUGAUAACAAAGUAACGAACAUUAUCAAUAUUUUGUUAAUACAUUAAAAGCAUUAUGAUAAUUGUAUGUCUUUUAUGUGAUUAUACUAAUCGAUGGUGAUGAUAUAGCAUAAUACACUCGUUUCAAACCAAAGUAUUCUGAGUGGAAAAUCAAAAGUCUUGUUUACAAGCUGGCAAGCUCCAGCAUCCCUGUGACUAAAAUCAAUCAGUCUCGGUUGAAUUCACUCAUCAAUGUGAAGAAAAUUUUGUUGAUACAUCGUUUAUCGUCACUGUUACAUCCUGUACUUUCAGUAUCCAAGAGAAACUAUGAUUUCAUCGAAUUAGAAUCUCUUCAAAAGCUUCGACCAUCCAUCAGAGCAUUUUCUCAGCCACUCUAAAUAUACAACAAACUCUUCUACAGACUACAUUGACUACAAAACAUUUAGCAUCCAGUUAAAGGGAAACCUUUUAAAAAAAUUACAUCAAAGUCAGCACUGAGGAUUUUAAGCAAUAUUCUUACAUUUUGAUAUUGAAAACUGCCUGGUUUGCUUCAAAAGUGUCAGGUUUGAAAAAGGUCAAGGGCAAAGGUACACCGAAUGAGUUUGACAUUUAGAUUUUCCAUCUUCCCUGCCCAGCUAGAAAAUCAUACCAAUUUUAGAGUUUCUUGACCGGAUGUCGAUUUUCUAAUUGUGACUAGCAUUCAUACCUGAGAGAACAGUAUCUAUUAACGCCCAGUGUUGCUGACAAGCAGAACAAAAUUUUUCAAACCCUACCCAAAUUUGAAGAAUAGGAGUAUAGCGACAAAAGUUAUGAAUGGAUGUGUAGCUGGCAUGGACAGUGACAGUGAAGUGGAAAGUUUGGUACUGUUACGAGACGGAACUUCCUUUUACACCAAAUCAAGCAAAUCUGGUAAGAUUCGUGAUUACUUCUAUUGAAUUCUAUCUAGAAUACCUAAAGGACUGAUGCCUCAAAGCUAGUUUCUGUUGAUUUCCAAAUUAAUGAUACUUUCCCUUUCUUAGACCUCAUUUAUAGCUUAAUCUUGAUAGAGAAUUAUUAAUUUUUACAAGGUUGAAUAUAUUUAUGUUCAUUGCAUCAAGCUUUUUAUCUCUAUAUCACCCAAACUUGCUUCAUUGGAUUUAAUUUGAAAAGUUUAAAUCAGAUUGAUUUGUUAAAACAGAUGCCUGCUGUGAAUGCGAAAAAGAAUCUGACUUGACAUUGUCAGACUCUUCUGCAAGUGAUGAAGAUUAUGACGCUGAUGAUGAGCAAGAAGAAAAAUUUGGUAAGAGAAAUGACUUCUUUUGGCUUUUAAAUAAAUGUAUUGCCAUCAUAACAAGCACUGUAAUUUUGUCGUAGAGAAGUUAAUUUUGUUUUUAAAUGGCUACUACCACAAGUUUUUUGGGAACCUAGUGUUUCAUGCUGAUCACUCAUUAUUGUUUCAAUAAAUAAGCAUCUUUUUUUCAGGCUAAAACCAUAAAAGAUGGGUUCAAAUGUGAGCAGUGCUUAAAAAUUUGCAUGUCUAAACGCGGACUUUCAAAGCAUUUUGAUUUGAAACAUGAGCAACAAAAAUUUGAUGUGAAUGAUAAGGUCAAAGAUUCACCUACAAUACACAAUUUCCAACUGUAAAGCAUAAUUGAGAAAGCAGCUCUUAGGCUUAGUCGGGAUGAAUGUUUCAGCCUCUUGGAACGUGAUGUAUUUGCCAAGUUCUCAAUAACAGUAGAACAAUUCCUAUUGAUUUGAGACAAAAUUAUUCCAAUUGUUAAAAAUUUCAAAGGGGAUGAUGAAGAAUUCCUUAGUAACUUUUUCAAGCUGAUGCUACCAAAGCAGCAAAUUUUCAGUGGGCUACCAGUCCUCCACUCAAACUUGCUGUGUUCAGAGAUGGCUAGCUUAUGUCUAAAGCAGCCAAAGGAUGCUGAUCAGCAAGGGAAAGAAGAGAUGCUUUUCUUUGUCCGAAAAAGUAUUGCAUGAUCUGUCAUAUCUUGCUGGAUAUUAUUGUCGUACAAUAUACUGUAGAUUGCGACAGUCCCAUUCUUGGAGGUCUAUCGCCAGCCAACAAUCUUGGCAUUUUGAUGGCUACAAAAUAUAUGGAGGAUGAUACCCAGAAACUUGUCAACAUUAGGGACCGUGGUGCACUAUGACGAGUAAACUAAAAGGCACAGAAGAUUUUCAUGGUUUGUGAGCAAUCUUUUUGCACAAUGACAUCAAAAUCAAAGACAUGCAUAGACAGUACAUUAAUGGUUAAAAAAGUAAUGCAGGAUAACAUUGUCCAAUCAAACUUCAAAGAUAUAUGCAGAUCUACUGAUGUUGUUGUUGACAAGGAAGUGAGCAAAAACUUGCUUGAAUGUCUAGUGCUACUGUAUGCGAUGGUUAGGGCACAUUCUCAUGCAAAAUCAAUAAAAGGAAAACACAAGGCAGCUAAACAAAGAAGAAAGCAACAAUCUUUACGCAAAGGAAUUAAACAGUCUAGCUCAAGCACAGACAUGGGACAUUGAGAUUAUUUCUGAGUGAACUCUGAAACAUUACUUAUUAAAACUUAUUAAAACACUCAAACACAAUGCUUCUUACAGCUCUGAAAGUAUCAAAAUUUAUUUCCCUCAAAAAUUCAUUUUUUAACAAUUUUGAUGAGAGCCUCAUUUUUGGGUUUGUUAUGAUACUUCAGUCUGAAAAUGAUGAAGAGCCUUUUUUCACCUUUGCAUUUUGUCAUGUAACCUUUGAACUUUAUUGAGAAGAUAUUUUGUGCAUUCAAUUAAUGUGAGACAUGUGAUCUAGAGACCUUCAUAUGUUUGCCAUGAAAGAAAUAUCUUUGCCUUUGCAACAGCAUCAAAGUUUCCAACUCGAUUUUCAACAGAGCUCUUCCAAUUUGCAAGGUAACCAAGAAACUCUUCUUGAAGCCACAAAAAUCUUUCAUCCUCUACUGAGGAGUAUGGCUUCAGGAUAUCUUUCGUUUUCAAUGUAUGUUCAGUAGUAUCACGGACAUUUAAACAGUCAAAGAAGUGACCAUCAUCAAACAGAACUUUGAUGUUAGCUGACACUCAGGCCCACCAUAACUUUGGAGAACAGAACUGACAGUCGAGCUAAGAACCUGUGCAGCUAACCCCACUCGCAUUACUCAGUAUGAUGUAAGAUUGAUAUGAUCAUUAGUCAAACCUGGUAGCAGCCUGAGCCCUCAAUUGGCAUCUUCAUAAUACAGUUUUGAUAUGUGGUCCCAUAAUGAAAGGCACCAUCAUUCCACAUUAAUUUGCUAUUUCUAACCUGCUUCCGAGUUGGCAAGAAAAUUUCUGGCAGUUUUAAUCAAAUGUGGAGCAUCAUAGAAGAACCAGAUAAAACGUUGUUCACUUGCCCUGUAGACAUGAAUAAACCUGGGCUUGCAAAAUGUUUUUAAGCAACUUUCAAACUUGCCUCUACAUGACAAAUGCAAUGUAUAAUAUUGAUAGUAUGCAAACUUCUAUUAACAGAAGACUAGCCCGCUGUGAGGGCUUGCCAGGGGCCCAAUUUUUUAAGAAUUGCACCAACAUGAAUGGCCUUAUAUUAUAAUUGCAGGAUUUAGGGGAAAAUAGAAGGGCAAGAAAUGCAUAAUGCGACAGUGCUAGCUGAACAUGCUGUAACUAUUAGUAACAGUUCUGUCAAUGAUUUAGGCAAUGUCAUUGACAUGUCAAUGACAAUGGAUUAGAUCUACUUGCUGAUUGUUGUACCAUUCAAUAUUCUGAACCAGAGCAGGAGCAAAGGUUUCCUUUUUGUUAUGUUUGCUACAAGGCAAAAUCUGCUUACCUUGAAAAUUUCGUAUUCGAUUCUGUUUCCUAUUUUGCCAAAUGCGAAAUAAUGUGUAUGUAACAAGCAGAAAAUUGGAUAGACACCAUAUCUAAACCUUGUGACCCCCCACCCACCCCGUCUCGGUUUAUUUCCCUUAUUUCAAACCUUGCUCUUGCCUGUUCCACAAUGAUAUCUGCUUUAAAUAAAUUGAAUUUGGAAUAAAACAGCUUGGGGCUAUUAGGGAAACUCACUCUACAUUGCUGUUUCUCGUUACUGUAAAGUGGUUUAUUCCAGAAUAUUUGACAAUUGCCAGAUUUAUAACAGAUUGAAAAGAGAUUUAAAACAGUACAUAAUCCUUACAGGAUAUCACACAGCAACCCCAGAAGAAGAAACGUGGAUGUGGCAGAAAAGAAUACAUUCCAAAGCAGAGCAAGCAAAGAGUUUUUGAUAAGAGGCAAGAAGAGCAGUUAAGAAGCAAUGUAAGGAGCAUUGAAUGUUUUUGUUUUAUUGGUAUGAAAUCUGCUGUUUUUAUUUAGAGUUGAAUUUACUGAUUAAUGCAUUUUUUUGCUAAACAUUCCUCUACCUCACUGGUUUCUUAGCGUCUUCUAAAAGCUGUACCAAAUGACCUAAUAUGUUGUUAUUUCCUAUACAAUAGCUUAUCAAAUGGCUGAAGAGAACAAACAUGCCAGUGGUUGCAUUAAGUAUGUCAUCAGAUCUUACAGUUAAUUACAUAGGAGCUGAAUGGUUUGAGGAUUUUGUUAAGGAUCCUUAUAUCAGGGACAAGUUUGUAGAUGUUGCUGUCAAAGAUAAGAUUGAAGACGAGAUAUUUUAGCAGUAGAGAAUUCAACAGAUGUGAAUUAAAUUUUCAUUUUAAGUUUAAAUUAGAGUCAAAAAUUUUUUUUCUUAACUGGUUUCCUUAACUUUAGGGUUGAAAAAGUUUUAUGAGCAUUAAGAGAGGAAUGAAACUUCAGAAAUUCCUGUUAAUAUGGAGACUGAGUCUACUGAAGGUAUAAAUUGCUGUGUAUUAUUAUAUGCAUACACAGUAUACUUUGUUUUUCAAAGUAACUACGUACAUUAACAUUACCAUUAUAACAUUAUCAGGCUAUUUUUUAAACUGUAACCUCUGUUCAUAUAUCAUUCAAGUCUGUAGAAAUACUACUGGAAUAUCAAUCUUUAUCUAAUUGCAUAUUUCUGUGGAUUGGUGGGUGAAUUUCAUGUGAUUUAAUUUUCUGGUGUUGAAAAAUAAAUUCUAGUAUACUGGUAUUCUUCUGCAGCUUUACUUCUAAAUUUAUUAUUUUCUGUUUCAAGUCUCUAGCCAAGCAUUUUUCUAUAUCUUACGAAACAUCUUAAAGCCUUUGUCAAAAGCACACUUAAAAUUUUUCAAAAAUGGGCAAAAUUAUAGGUAUUUCUCUUGAUGUUGGUGUCAAGCAUAAUUGCUUGCUGAUGAUGUUCUAAGACAUGAUGUGCAUCAGAAAAGUAUGCCGAUUGGACAUAUUGCGAGGAGGAAAGGUAAUCAUACUAGUACUUUGAUUUUGCUUUUAUUGACUAGGGUCUCAAUAAAAUAAAUAAUCUUGGUUUAUCAUGAUUGCUUUACUAAUUAUUGAACAAUUGCGACAGUACAAAAUUGAAUUGCUUAUCAUACAAUCUGAUCAUACAAUAUUAUAUUUUACAACAUACAUCUAUAGAGAGUUUAAGACAUCAGAAUCAAGCCAGAAAAUAGAAACAUUGCUAUGCUAGGCCCUUGAGCCCUUGAGCUUUUUUAAAAAGGUUGACUCACCUUUUCUGUAAACUUGACUUACCUUACUUGACUUGUUUCACAAUGACAAUUAGUUCCGUUAAUUUCAAUCAACAUUUUGAUUGACAAACUAGCUUUCUUGCACAUAGCAUGUAGUUCCAAUAUCUAUUUAUAUUUUAACAGA